GAUGAAGAACGUAGCGAAAUGCGAUAAAUAAUGUGAAUUGCAGAAUUCAGUGAAUCAUCGAAUCUUUGAACGCACAUUGCGCCCGCCAGUAUUCUGGCGGGCAUGCCUGUUCGAGCGUCAUUUCAACCCUCAGGCCCCCAGUGCCUGGUGUUGGGGAUCGGCCCAGCCUUCCUGUAAGGCCGCCGGCCCCGAAAUCUAGUGGCGGUCUCGCUGUAGUCCUCCUCUGCGUAGUAGCACAACCUCGCAGUUGGAACGCGGCGGUGGCCAUGCCGUUAAACACCCCACUUCUGAAAGUUGACCUCGGAUCAGGUAGGAAUACCCGCUGAACUUAAGCAUAUCAAUAAGCGGAGGA
Molecule: unclassified non-coding RNA, 352 nt
Filed under: soil metagenome
Description: partial contains 5.8S ribosomal RNA, internal transcribed spacer 2, and large subunit ribosomal RNA
Rfam family: 5.8S ribosomal RNA (bases 1-120)
Source: RNAcentral